CCACCCUCCUCUGCCACCCAAAGUGCUAGGAUUAUAGGCACGAGCCACUGUGCCCAGCCUGGAACGGAUCUCUAUUAGUGGUUCUCCAAUGUGUUUAGGUAGCACGACUGCUGGCAUUAAGGAAGGAAACACCAAUAUUCUACUGGUGGGUAUUUAAAGACGGGAACCAUUCUGAAAAGCAAUCUGGCAGAUGGAAAAAAAAAUCACAUUAUAAGAUGCUCAUUUCAGCAGUAUUUAAAACAGCCAAAAUCCCUGUGAACAACCUGAGAGGGAUGUUUAAAUUAUGAUCUAUGCAGACAUUAAUAAUGAGUCUAUAAAAUAAGGACACACACAAAGAUGUUGACUGUAUUUUUUUUCUAAAAAAAAAAGCAACAAGCUAGCUAGCAUUUGGAUUAUUUGCAUGAACCAAGUUUAGAAAAAAUUUAAACAUUCUGGUAGACUAUAAUACACUAAAGUGUCUAGAUGGUACGUUAGGCAUGUAUGAUGUCUAUCUUCUUUUUGCUUGUCUAUACCUACAAUUUUUUGGCCUAUCUAUAUCUAAUUUUUCUUAAACGAAGAUGUAUUACUUAUACAAGGAAAAAAACCCCAAUUAGUUGCUAUGCAACCAACUAGAAUAUCCAAUUGAGCUCAAAAUUACAUCACAGUAGACACAACAAAAGAGGUCAAAAGCUGGGGAGGGGGUGCGGAUCAAAAAAAGAUGGAAGUUAAAGACAAUCUACAUUUUUUCUCAGUAAAUUGGGACUACGUAAAGACUUUUAUUUUGGUAUAUGAAAUGUCACAGUCCAGCAUAUAGCACACCAGCAUUUCGCAGGUGCAUAGACUGCAAGCCACAGUAAGGAACUGCUUGGCUUUCUAACUUUGAAUGAAAAACUCAGAGCUGAUAGGAAGGCUGACUGUCCCCAGAUGCGUGGUUAAUGAGGUGCUUCUAACAGAGCGACAUGUUCAGUUUACUGGAAGGAUAAGAAUCUCACAUAAAGAACAGGGCAUCCUGUUCAUACAACAACAGUAUACCUUCAACAAGGGAAACGAUUCUUCAUGUUACCCCACACGACAAGUCUGCAGGAUCCCAGAGGCCAAGCCUACUGUGUAACAGCUGACAAUGCCAUCAAUUUCUGUGGUGUUUAUGGCAUGUUCCAGCACAUCACACAUAAGGUAUCAUGUGACUAGCUGAAUGUGAUUUUAAGAGAGUGAUCUCCAAACUUUUCAUUUGCCUUAAGGAUGACGCCUCUGUGCGAAAACACUUUAAA
RNAcentral lists this long non-coding RNA (1247 nucleotides) under Homo sapiens (human). Its description in RNAcentral is "HSALNT0353989". The record is from RNAcentral. Lineage: Eukaryota; Metazoa; Chordata; Mammalia; Primates; Hominidae.